AGAGUUUGAUCCUGGCUCAGAACGAACGCUGGCGGCGUGCUUAACACAUGCAAGUCGAACGCGAAAGCCUGGGCAACCGGGUGAGUAGAGUGGCGCACGGGUGAGUAACACGUGGGUAACCUACCUUCGAGUGGGGAAUAACUCCUCGAAAGGGGAGCUAAUACCGCAUAAGACCACGAUCUCUUCGGAGGUUGCGAUCAAAGAUGGCCUCAUUAGAUAGAGCGUUUGGGAUAAUCUUCCUAAAUGGAAGAUAAUCCUUAGCGCUUUUUCGAGUGAAGCUGUUGCUCGAAGAGGGGCCCGCGUCCCAUCAGCUAGUUGGUAGGGUAAUGGCCUACCAAGGCGACGACGGGUAGCUGGUCUGAGAGGACGACCAGCCACACGGGAAUUGAGAUACGGUCCCGACUCCUACGGGAGGCAGCAGUGGGGAAUCUUGGGCAAUGGGGGAAACCCUGACCCAGCGACGCCGCGUGGGGGAUGAAGGCCUUCGGGUCGUAAACCCCUGUUAGGUGGGACGAACAUCUUCUAGUAAAUAGCUAGGAGAUCUGACGGUACCACCAAAGAAAGCCCCGGCUAGCUCCGUGCCAGCAGCCGCGGUAAUACGGAGGGGGCGAGUGUUGUUCGGAAUUACUGGGCGUAAAGGGCGCGCAGGCGGCUUGGCAAGUCGAGUGUGAAAUCCCUUGGCUUAACUGAGGAAUGGCGCUCGAAACUACCUCGCUGGAGGGCGGGAGAGGGAAGUGGAACUCUCGGUGUAGGGGUGAAAUCUGUAGAUAUCGAGAGGAACACCGGUGGCGAAAGGCGGC
Molecule: ribosomal RNA, 800 nt
Filed under: uncultured bacterium
Lineage: Bacteria
Description: bacterial SSU rRNA
Rfam family: Bacterial small subunit ribosomal RNA
Source: RNAcentral